Molecule: ribosomal RNA, 482 nt
Filed under: uncultured bacterium
Lineage: Bacteria
Description: partial 16S ribosomal RNA
Rfam family: Bacterial small subunit ribosomal RNA
Source: RNAcentral
GAUGAACGCUGGCGGCGUGCUUAACACAUGCAAGUCGAACGGUGAAAGAGAGCUUGCUCUCUGGAUCAGUGGCGAACGGGUGAGUAACACGUGAGCAAUCUGCCCCUGACUCUGGGAUAAGCGCUGGAAACGGCGUCUAAUACUGGAUACGAGCUGCGAAGGCAUCUUCAGCAGCUGGAAAGAACUUCGGUCAGGGAUGAGCUCGCGGCCUAUCAGCUUGUUGGUGAGGUAAUGGCUCACCAAGGCGUCGACGGGUAGCCGGCCUGAGAGGGUGACCGGCCACACUGGGACUGAGACACGGCCCAGACUCCUACGGGAGGCAGCAGCGGGGAAUAUUGCACAAUGGGCGAAAGCCUGAUGCAGCAACGCCGCGUGAGGGACGACGGCCUUCGGGUUGUAAACCUCUUUUAGCAGGGAAGAAGCGAAAGUGACGGUACCUGCAGAAAAAGCACCGGCUAACUACGUGCCAGCCGCCGCCGUAA